GACGAACGCUGGCGGCGUGCUUAACACAUGCAAGUCGAACGGAAAGGCCCUGCUUGCGGGGUACUCGAGUGGCGAACGGGUGAGUAACACGUGGGUGAUCUGCCCUGCACUUCGGGAUACGCCUGGGAAAAUGGGUCUAAUACCGGAUAGGAGCCAUUUUGAGUGUGAUGGUUGGAAAGUUUUUUCGGUGUCGGGUGAGCUCACGGCCUAUCAGCUUGUUGGUGGGGUAAUGGGCUACCGAGGCGGCGACGGGUAGCCGGCCUGAGAGGGUGGACGGCCACCCUGGGACCGGGGUACGGCCCAGGCUCCUACGGGAGGGCGCUGGGGGGAAUCUUGCACCAUGGGCGCCAGCCUGAUGCAGCGACGCCGCGGAGGGGAUGACGGCCUUCGGGUUGUAAACUCGUUUCGCUAGGGACGAAGCUUUUUGUGACGGUACCUAGAUAAGAAGCACCGGCUAACUACGUG
RNAcentral lists this ribosomal RNA (465 nucleotides) under uncultured bacterium. Its description in RNAcentral is "partial 16S ribosomal RNA". It matches the Rfam family "Bacterial small subunit ribosomal RNA", at positions 28 to 507 of the family's 1533-position model. The record is from RNAcentral.